AAUCAUACAUUCCAACACAUUCAUACAUAAGCCAACUGUGCUUUGAAAGGGUUCAACAUACUUUGUGUCAUUCAACACUUGCUACAAUAUGCCUCGACACCUUGCCCUUAUUCUCACCAACCAGGUGAUGAAAUGUGAAGAAGGAAGUCAUCUUCAUGCCACCAACCAGGUGAUGAAAUGUACAACCCGUACUCUCCUUCAUGCUACCAACCAGGUGAUGAAAUGUACAACAUGUACUCUAAUAUCAUUUGGAAACUUGCCACUCAUGCCACCAACCAGAUGAAGAAGAGACUCAUCUUCAUGCCACCAACUAGGUGAUGAAAUGUAUAACCCGUACUCUCCUUCAUGCCACUAACCAGGUGAUGAAAUGUACAACUCAUACUCUAAUAUCAUUUGGCAACUUGCCAUUCAUACCACCAACCAAGUGAAGAAGGAACUCAUCAUCGUACCACCAACCAGGUGAUGAAAUGUGAUGAAGGAACUCACCUUCGUACCACCAACCAAGUGAUGAAGGCAACUCACCAUUCAUUCCACCUACCAGAAGACGAGUGGUACAACUUGUACAUGUGAACUUCUAGCAUUCACAAAUAAUCAAAAACCCUCAAGCUUGACAACUCAACUAGGGGAGCACUUAUGCCCAACAAGAGUUAUAGUCACUAACAAAGUCUUAUUACAAACCAACUUCCAUCCUCCAUGAACAGGCAGACCUGCAAAAAUGCUCAACCAUUCCUCAUAUCUGAGAAGGCACU
RNAcentral lists this long non-coding RNA (749 nucleotides) under Malus domestica (apple). RNAcentral's name for it is "long non-coding RNA (MDOM_LNC004890)". The record is from RNAcentral. Lineage: Eukaryota; Viridiplantae; Streptophyta; Magnoliopsida; Rosales; Rosaceae.